ACCUACCAUUCCUGGCUGAAAGAGGUAAGAACUUCACUACUCUUCUCCUGCUCAUGUGCGUUAUUGUUUUUGCCUUCUUUAUUCACCUUUUUGUGGAUGUAUAAUGAGGAUUAAGACAACAGAACUGAAUAAGCUGAAUUUAACAAAUGGUUUAUCACUGGCCUGAUCUGGAGAGUCCUUGGCACUUUCUGCAUGAAAGUGAAUCUCAAAAUUGCCAAUAUUCUUC
RNAcentral lists this unclassified non-coding RNA (226 nucleotides) under Hevea brasiliensis (rubber tree). The record is from RNAcentral. Lineage: Eukaryota; Viridiplantae; Streptophyta; Magnoliopsida; Malpighiales; Euphorbiaceae.